GCCGAGGUAACUCAGUUGGUAGAGUGUUGGAUUGAAAAUCCAAUGGUCGCGGGUUCGAGUCCCGCCCGAGGCG
Ostrinia furnacalis (Asian corn borer) is the source of this 73-nucleotide non-coding RNA. The record is from the annotation of a RefSeq genome assembly. Lineage: Eukaryota; Metazoa; Arthropoda; Insecta; Lepidoptera; Crambidae.